This 842-nucleotide ribosomal RNA is filed under the name Codinaeella mimusopis. RNAcentral's name for it is "eukaryotic LSU rRNA". It matches the Rfam family "Eukaryotic large subunit ribosomal RNA", at positions 68 to 943 of the family's 3401-position model. The record is from RNAcentral. Lineage: Eukaryota; Fungi; Ascomycota; Sordariomycetes; Chaetosphaeriales; Chaetosphaeriaceae.
ACAGGGAUUGCCUCAGUAACGGCGAGUGAAGCGGCAACAGCUCAAAUUUGAAAUCUGGCCCCAGGCCCGAGUUGUAAUUUGCAGAGGAUGCUUCUGGCGCGGUGCCUUCCAAGUCCCCUGGAACGGGGCGCCGAAGAGGGUGAGAGCCCCGUCCGGUCGGCCGCCAAGCCUGUGUGAAGCUCCUUCGACGAGUCGAGUAGUUUGGGAAUGCUGCUCUAAACGGGAGGUAGACCCCUUCUAAAGCUAAAUACCGGCCAGAGACCGAUAGCGCACAAGUAGAGUGAUCGAAAGAUGAAAAGCACUUUGAAAAGAGGGUUAAAAAGUACGUGAAAUUGUUGAAAGGGAAGCGCUUGUGACCAGACGUGUGCCGGGGUGUUCAGCGGGCGUUCUCGCCCGUGCACUCGCCCCGGCACAGGCCAGCGUCGGUUCGCGCGGGGGGACAAAGGCGCCGGGAACGUAGCUCCUCCGGGAGUGUUAUAGCCCGGCGUGCCAUGCCCCCGCGCGGACCGAGGUUCGCGCUCCGCAAGGACGCUGGCGUAAUGGUCUCCAGCGGCCCGUCUUGAAACACGGACCAAGGAGUCGAGGUUUUGCGCGAGUGUUUGGGUGUCAAACCCGCACGCGUAAUGAAAGUGAACGCAGGUGGGAGCUUCGGCGCACCACCGACCGAUCCUGAUGUUCUCGGAUGGAUUUGAGUAGGAGCGUAGGGCCUCGGACCCGAAAGAUGGUGAACUAUACGUGGAUAGGGUGAAGCCAGAGGAAACUCUGGUGGAGGCUCGCAGCGGUUCUGACGUGCAAAUCGAUCGUCAAAUCUGCGUAUGGGGGCGAAAGACUAAUCGAACCAU